UAUAUUUAAGAUUACUGACACUGAGCAGAAAGAGGUACUGUGCAAGAUUUGCGCUGUUCCCCGAACAAAACAAAGCACAAUUACAGAUGUGUUUGCAAGUCUCACGCCAUAUGAUAAGUCUUCACCUAGACAUAAAGAAAUCACUGACUCCACUCUGUUGGCAAAAGACAUGAUGCCCAUACACACCGUUAGUAAAGUGGGAUUUCAGAAAAUGAUCCGCACACUGGACAAGAGGUUCCAGCUGCCCUCUUGAAACUAUUUCAUGGUAGCGAUCCCUAAACUUUAUAACUCACGCCAUGACGAAGUUCAAAAGAAAAUGGCUACGGUGACGUUCUUUUAAACCACUUCAAACCUGUGGUCAAGCAGGACAGGUGAACCUUAUAUUAGAUUGACUGUGCACUUUGUCGACGAGGAGUUUGAAUUAAAAAGCCACUGCCUGCAAACAUCGUAUUUCCCCGAUGACCACACAGGAGAGAACAUAGCCUUGGGCUUGAGAGAGGCACUGGCUGCGUGGGACCUCUGUGAGGAGCGUCAGGUCGCCAUCACAACAGACAAUGGCACCAACAUUGUCAAAGCGGUGGAGCUUAAUCGGUGGACUAAAAUCCAGUGUUUUGGGCAUAGACUUCAUUUGGCCAUUGAAAAUGCUCUGAAAGAUAAUGCACAAUGCAUUAACAGAGCUACUGGGAUAUGCAGGAAGAUUGUUGGCCACUUAUCCCAUAGUUGGAAGAAAAGAGUGCCCUUGAGAGAAGCACAAUGAGAGCUCAACCUCCCAGAGCAUGCCAUGGUGACAGACUGCUCAACACGAUGGGGUUCCACUCAGAAAAUGAUAGCAAGAUUCCUGGAGCAGCAAAGUGCGUUGUCCAAGGUUCUCUCUACAGACCGCGAAGUGCGACACCUACUCCCUUCAUGGCAGGACCUGGAGGUCUUGGAAUCUGUAAACAGGGCAGUAAGCCCACUCCAGGACUUUACGGAUGCCUUAUAGGGUGAACGUUAUGUGAGCAUAUCUUGUGUGAAACCUGCUCUGCAUCUUCUGAAAACCUCAGUGCUGGCUGAAGACGAAGCAGACACUGACCUGACCAAAUCACCGAAAUCAAAAAUUCUUAGCUACCUCAACAACAAAUAUGAAGGCACGCAGGACUUACUAAACUUCACCACUUUCCUAGACCCAAGGUUCUGAAACACAAUACAUCUCUGAAGAAGAGACCCAGACCUUAAAGGAAUGAGCCAUCUCUGGGUUGAUAGAAAUUCACCACCAGCAGUCUGUAGCCCAAAGCACUGCAGUGAUGGAGAAUGAUAGCAUGGAUGUGGAAAGUCCACCUGCUGCUAAAGCCAAAAAGAAAACUCUGGCCAGUUUCUUCAAGGAAAUCACAUGCACAACACCAAGAGCAUCAUUGUCAUCCACAUUUGAUUUCAUGGCACAGUUUAGAGAAGCAGUGACCGCCGCUGAACUCAAUGCUUACAUUUACAUGCCAUGUGUAGACCAUGGAGAAGAUCCACCGAAAUGAGGGAAGUUCCACAAAGUAAACUUCCCUAGACUAUGCAAACUAGCACAGAAAUAUCUGGGCAUACAAGCAACAAGCUCUGCAUCAGAGAGAGCUUUUAACACUAGUGGUAAUGUUGAACAUCGCUCCUGUCUGAAACCAGAGAAAGUGGAUACAGACUGCUGGUGGAUGUUUGUCUUUUUGACAAAGAACCUCUAAUAUGAUAUGUUUAACUGUUUAGAAAGAGGAUUUGGAAGUGCCGGUUUUGAUUGAGUGAACCACAAUUUUAUAUCCAGUUUCCAUUUCAAAAGAGUUUAUACAGAGUAUAUGUUACAUCCUGCGUAAAUGUGCCUGUUUGUUUGGACAAAAUGUUUAAAAUAUCUUAUUUUUGUGAAAAUGUGUAUGUUUUUAUUUAUUGUUUUAUUUAAUUUAGCUAUACUUUUGAGAAAAUAAGUUUACAUGAAUGCAAAUGUUAUUUCAUUUUGUAAAAAAUAAUUUAUUUUAAAACAUUUCUAGUUUUACAAAUACACAUUUUAGCAUUAUCACUAAUCUGUGUGUGCAUUUUCCUUAAAAACCCAUCAAGUUGACUCAUGAUACAAUUUAUUAUAAUCCCAUAUGGCAAUACUGACUUCAAUAACGGCAAUAUGAAAAUUUUCCCAAAUCGUGCAGCCCUAAUUGCAAUGCAUUAGGCCUAACAGAAAGCCAGUUAAUGUAAAGAUUUUUAAUUAUACUAUUAAUAGCAUUUAUAGUAUUUUUGUGCCAUGACAAUGGGUGUGGGAACAUGUGAAACAUGCACACUUACACUUAAUUGAAUUUAAUUAGGCAAAAUAUUAAACAUUUAAUGCUCAUUUUGAGCACCAAAUAUGUGUUGUUUAGUUGAUGUUUCUCACUAAGCAACUGCAUGCAGUGCAAGAUGACUUACAGGUUUGAGCCAGGUUUGAGAGUUUCUCCACGUCUAGAAAGCAUUAGUGCCGCAGAUAAUUUCAAAAGUUUAACAGCUAACGCCAGCAUUAAAGACUUUUUUAAAGAAGUAAGUUAAGCUCAAAACUCACUAUCAGACAGCAGUGGGUGUUUGAUAUAACUUCUGUUUGAGAUCCGAUGUGGAUUAUGGUCACCAUAAAAGGCAGAAAUAUUUACAAGCGACGCAAAAUACUAUGCACACUAGCCAUUAGUAAAUAUGGUAAAUAGCCUAAGACCGCUUGAAGAAAUCAGACAUCAGCUUCUCAUUCAGACUAUCACAGUCGUGUAUUUAUUUAGUAAUAUAUUUUAUCUGCCUCGUCUCGAGACCUUAGCUCUGCGUAUGUCAAAAAAUGUGACCCUGGACCACAAAACCAGUCUUAGGUCGCUGGGGUAUAUUUGUAGCAGUAGCCGAAAAUACAUUGUAUGGGUCAAAAUUUUAGAUUUUUCUUUUAUGCCAA
Long non-coding RNA from Cyprinus carpio (common carp), 2899 nucleotides. RefSeq lists it as uncharacterized. The record is from RefSeq and is a predicted model, not a curated record. NCBI's taxonomy places the organism in Eukaryota, Metazoa, Chordata, Actinopteri, Cypriniformes, Cyprinidae.